GACGAACGCUGGCGGCGUGCUUAACACAUGCGAGUCGAACGGAAAGGCCCCUUUGGGGGUACUCGAGUGGCGAACGGGUGAGUAACACGUGAGUAACCUGCCCUUGACUUCGGGAUAACUUCAGGAAACGGGGGCUAAUACCGGAUAGGAAUCCUUGCUGCAUGGGGGGGGUUGGAAAGCUUCGGCGGUUUUGGAUGGACUCGCGGCUUAUCAGCUUGUUGGUGGGGUAGUGGCUUACCAAGGCUUUGACGGGUAGCCGGACUGAGAGGGCGACCGGCCACAUUGGGACUGAGAUACGGCCCAGACUCCUACGGGAGGCAGCAGUGGGGAAGAUUGCACGAUGGGCGGAAGCCUGAUGCAGCAACGCCGCGGGCGGGAUGACGGCCUUCGGGUUGUAAACCGCUUUCAGCAGGGGCGAAGCUUGUGGUGACGGUACCUGCAGAAGAAGCACCGGCUAACUACGUG
This 465-nucleotide ribosomal RNA is filed under the name uncultured bacterium. RNAcentral's name for it is "partial 16S ribosomal RNA". It matches the Rfam family "Bacterial small subunit ribosomal RNA", at positions 28 to 507 of the family's 1533-position model. The record is from RNAcentral.